Molecule: non-coding RNA, 29 nt
Filed under: Cricetulus griseus (Chinese hamster)
Lineage: Eukaryota; Metazoa; Chordata; Mammalia; Rodentia; Cricetidae
Source: RNAcentral
CAGGAUGUGAGCCACCGGCAAGGAGAGAC